Non-coding RNA from Pelobates cultripes (western spadefoot toad), 618 nucleotides. The record is from the annotation of a GenBank genome assembly. NCBI's taxonomy places the organism in Eukaryota, Metazoa, Chordata, Amphibia, Anura, Pelobatidae.
CGGUGGAGGAGGUAGCCAACACUGUUGUGUGUGUAUGUAUAUAUAUAUAUAUAUAUAUAUAUAUAUAUAUAUAUAUAUAUAUAUAUAUAUAUAUAUAUAUAUAUAUAUAUAUAUAUAUAUAUAUAUAUAUAUAUAUAUAUAUUUUUAUUUUUUAUUUUUUUUAUUGGGGUAGCCACCAAAAUAUUGGGAAAUAUAAAAAAAGACAAACUCUGUUCCGCAGAGUAGCUGUUGACUCUAGAGAACCUCGGGCCAAUCGCACAUCCCGGCGACUUUGCAUUCGGAUGUCAUCCAUAUCAACUUUCGAUGCCAGUUUCUGCGCCUACCAUGGUGACCUCGGGUAACAGGAAAUCAGGGUUCCAUUCCGUACAGGGACUCUGAGAAAUGGCUAUCACAUGCAAGGAAGGCAGCAGGUGCGCAAAUGACCCACCCCUGAUGCGGGAAGGUAGUGACCACAAAUAACAAUACAGGACUCUUUAGAGGCCCUGUAAUUGUAAUGAGUCCACUUGAAAUCCUUUAACUCUGAUCAAUUGGAGGGAAGUCUGGUGCAGAGCCACUGACCCGUGGGUGCUACAGCUGAAACUCCACUAUCGCUUGCUGCUGCUCACACAGUCUCUCCAG